UGUCAUAGGAUUCUAGUAUAAUAAAUAUUUUGCCGUUUUCCUUAUGUUGGCAUUUUGUCAUUUUAUUUUCUAGAAUGAUGAGGUGUCCCUUUUAUUAGAUUUCUCUUGGCAUUGUGUGGUUGUGCUGUAACCAACUUGCUUAUAUCUAGCCUUUUGGCAGUAAUAAAAAACAACAAUUAUUGACUCAACAACUAUUCUUCCUCAAAAUACUCUUUUUACCAAUAAUUCUAUUUCAUCGAGUAGUAUUCAAUUCCUUUUGCUAUUCCUGGAUUAGAAUAAGGAUAUUACCGGAACUUAUCUCCUUAAUAUCCAAAAAUAUUGAUAUCA
RNAcentral lists this long non-coding RNA (327 nucleotides) under Trifolium pratense (red clover). RNAcentral describes it as "long non-coding RNA (TPRA_LNC010340)". The record is from RNAcentral. Lineage: Eukaryota; Viridiplantae; Streptophyta; Magnoliopsida; Fabales; Fabaceae.